AAAACAAAAAAUUCGUUUUAUUCUUAUAGACUUAAGAGUGAGAUUCUUAGGCUUUUUUUACACUAUAAUUGCUUCUAAUUAAGGAAGUUAUUGUAAUAUUUAUAAUAUUUUUAAUUUAAAUAAUAUAAAAACUAAAAAGGCGCUCCUGAUAGAAUAACGCUCUAGAGGGGGUAAACAUUAUGUUAUUAGUCUAUAUAUUAAUUACUCAAUAAUAUGGGUAAACAGUGUAGCGUCAAUUUUAUUGAGUAAAGUUCUAGAUAGUGAUAAUAUGAUUAUGACAAAAAACUAUCUAUAAGUCUUGACCAAAAUACAUGCCAGCAGUCGCGGUAAGAUGUAAAAGACUAGUGUUAUUCAUCUUUAAUAGGUUUAAAGGGUACCUAGACGGUUUAUUUAGUCUUUAACAGGAUACGAAUAAUCUAGAGUUAUAUGUAAGGAGGUGAGUAUUUAUGGAGUAGAGUUGAAAUUCGUUGAUACCAUAACGACUGGUAAAGGCGAAAGCAACCUUUUAUCUAAUAACUGACGUUGAGGAACGAAGGCUUGGGUAGCGAACAGGAUUAGAUACCCUAGUAGUCCUUGCAGAAAAUGAUGAAUGCCAUAGGUUAGAUAAUAAUUUAGUCUAUAAAUGAAAGUGUAAGCAUUUCACCUCAAGAGUAAUGCGGCAACGCAGGAACUGAAAUCAUUAGACCGUUUCUGAAACCAGUAGUGAAGUAUGUUAUUUAAUUCGUAAGUACGCGAAAAACCUUACCACAACUUGAAUAUUAUCAACUAUGAUAUUACAGUGUUGCAUGGCUGUCUGCAGUUAAUGUCGUGAGAUUUGGAUAGCUCCUUAAUUAACGGAAACCUUACUUUAUUGAAAUAACAUU
Molecule: ribosomal RNA, 863 nt
Filed under: Arachnopeziza sp. C TK-2020
Lineage: Eukaryota; Fungi; Ascomycota; Leotiomycetes; Helotiales; Arachnopezizaceae
Description: SSU rRNA
Rfam family: Bacterial small subunit ribosomal RNA (bases 188-863)
Source: RNAcentral